This 596-nucleotide long non-coding RNA is filed under the name Olea europaea (common olive). RNAcentral describes it as "long non-coding RNA (OEUR_LNC015419)". The record is from RNAcentral. Lineage: Eukaryota; Viridiplantae; Streptophyta; Magnoliopsida; Lamiales; Oleaceae.
UAUUUUUAUAGAUACUUCUUGAGCAAGUGUUUCUUACUAAACAAGUGGUAUAUUGAGAGGAAAUGUAGUGGUUACAGAAAAAUAAAAUAAAAUUGGAAUUUUGAAGGCAUUAUAAGGGAAGUGAAAUUACUGUCGCAGUGAAAUAUUUAUUAUAAAGCUUAUCAAUAGAAAUUUCAUAAACAAUUUUAAAUAUGUGAAAUAUUUAUUAGGUACAGGUGUGGACAAAAUAAGGCCAGGAUACAAUUUUAUUUCAGGUUGCUGCCCUGUUAAUGAAGAUGUUUUUGGAAGUGAAAUUACUGUAGCAGUUAACUUUGUUUUGUUCUUGACAUCUCUAAGGUUUUGCAUUUUUAGCUGUACUAAAUAUUUUAUGCAUUUUGUUUUUUGAAGUUGCGUGUUUGACAAAAUUAAUGGCGAUCAUUUGUUUGUUUCUGGUUUUGUUUUGAACCUUACACUAGUUCUUGAAUAAUUUGUCUGCUGCUUAUAAAUAGAGGAUAAACGUAGCAAGUCACAUUCUGGUUAUUGGAGGAUGUUGAAAUUGAUGAAGAAGUUGAUGUUAUAGUUUCAGAAUGGAUGGGUUACUUGCUUCUCUAUGAGGU